AUCACCUGGGGAUCUUGUUAAAAUGCAGAUUCUGACUCAGCACGUCUGAGAUCCUGCAUUUCUAAUAAACUCCCAGGUGAUGCGGA
Molecule: microRNA precursor, 86 nt
Filed under: Felis catus (domestic cat)
Lineage: Eukaryota; Metazoa; Chordata; Mammalia; Carnivora; Felidae
Also listed under: 2 other names
Description: mir-544 microRNA precursor family
Rfam family: mir-544 microRNA precursor family
Source: Rfam by way of RNAcentral